Molecule: small nuclear RNA, 115 nt
Organism: Dunckerocampus dactyliophorus (ringed pipefish)
Lineage: Eukaryota; Metazoa; Chordata; Actinopteri; Syngnathiformes; Syngnathidae
Product: U5 spliceosomal RNA
Exons: 1
Source: RefSeq, a predicted model, not a curated record
ACACUCUUGUUUCUCUUCAGAUCGUAUAAAUCUUUCGCCUUUUCCUAAAGUUUUCCGUGGGGAGGAACAACAUGAUUUAAAAAAUUUUUUUUUUUAUUUUUGAUGCUCUGUGAAA